GUGGCUUAGUGGUUGCCUUCGUGGUCUAGUUUGGUCAUGACGUCGGUCUCAUAUCCUUUCAUAUGACACUCUUGGUAACAAGAUUGACAUCCGAAGGUCUCCAGUUCGAUCCUGGACGAGGGCAU
This 125-nucleotide transfer RNA is filed under the name Penicillium egyptiacum. Its description in RNAcentral is "tRNA-Met". The stretch from base 15 to 124 matches the Rfam family "tRNA". Rfam says of the family: Transfer RNA (tRNA) molecules are approximately 80 nucleotides in length. Their secondary structure includes four short double-helical elements and three loops (D, anti-codon, and T loops). The record is from RNAcentral. Lineage: Eukaryota; Fungi; Ascomycota; Eurotiomycetes; Eurotiales; Aspergillaceae.